Molecule: ribosomal RNA, 380 nt
Filed under: uncultured bacterium
Lineage: Bacteria
Description: bacterial SSU rRNA
Rfam family: Bacterial small subunit ribosomal RNA
Source: RNAcentral
AACGAACGCUGGCGGCGCGCCUAAUACAUGCAAGUCGAGCGAGAAGACGUAGCAAUACGUUUGUAAAGCGGCGAACGGGUGAGGAAUACAUGGGUAACCUACCCUCGAGUGGGGAAUAACUAGCCGAAGGUUAGCUAAUACCGCGUACGCUCCUUGGACUUCGGUUCAGGGAGGAAAGCGAUACCGUGGGUAUCGCGCUCUUGGAUGGGCUCAUGUCCUAUCAGCUUGUUGGNGAGGUAACGGCUCACCAAGGCUUCGACGGGUAGCUGGUCUGAGAGGACGAUCAGCCACACUGGCACUGCGACACGGGCCAGACUCCUACGGGAGGCAGCAGUAAGGAAUAUUGCGCAAUGGGCGAAAGCCUGACGCAGCGACGCCGC